UAGAUGAAUGCUCGCUGGUUAGGGCGCUUAGCUGUUAACUAAGAAUUUGUAGGAUCGAGGCCUACUCAUCUAG
Molecule: transfer RNA, 73 nt
Filed under: Nemipterus balinensoides
Lineage: Eukaryota; Metazoa; Chordata; Actinopteri; Spariformes; Nemipteridae
Description: tRNA-Asn
Rfam family: tRNA
About the family: Transfer RNA (tRNA) molecules are approximately 80 nucleotides in length. Their secondary structure includes four short double-helical elements and three loops (D, anti-codon, and T loops).
Source: RNAcentral